Molecule: ribosomal RNA, 508 nt
Filed under: uncultured bacterium
Lineage: Bacteria
Description: partial 16S ribosomal RNA
Rfam family: Bacterial small subunit ribosomal RNA
Source: RNAcentral
GACGAACGCUGGCGGCGUGCCUAAUACAUGCAAGUCGAACGCUUCUUUCCUCCCGAGUGCUUGCACUCAAUUGGAAAGAGGAGUGGCGGACGGGUGAGUAACACGUGGGUAACCUACCCAUCAGAGGGGGAUAACACUUGGAAACAGGUGCUAAUACCGCAUAACAGUUUAUGCCGCAUGGCAUAAGAGUGAAAGGCGCUUUCGGGUGUCGCUGAUGGAUGGACCCGCGGUGCAUUAGCUAGUUGGUGAGGUAACGGCUCACCAAGGCCACGAUGCAUAGCCGACCUGAGAGGGUGAUCGGCCACACUGGGACUGAGACACGGCCCAGACUCCUACGGGAGGCAGCAGUAGGGAAUCUUCGGCAAUGGACGAAAGUCUGACCGAGCAACGCCGCGUGAGUGAAGAAGGUUUUCGGAUCGUAAAACUCUGUUGUUAGAGAAGGACAAGGACGUUAGUAACUGAACGUCCCCUGACGGUAUCUAACCAGAAAGCCACGGCUAACUACGUG